UUGACGGGGGCCCGCACAAGCGGUGGAGCAUGUGGUUUAAUUCGACGCAACGCGAAGAACCUUACCUGGGCUCGAACGGCUGAUCAACGACGGUAGAAAUAUCGUUACUCCGCAAGGGGGUUCAGUCGAGGUGCUGCAUGGCUGUCGUCAGCUCGUGUCGUGAGAUGUUGGGUUAAGUCCCGCAACGAGCGCAACCCUUGCCCUGUGUUGCCAUCAUUCAGUUGGGAACUCUCAGGGGACCGCCAGCGAUAAGUUGGAGGAAGGUGGGGACGACGUCAAGUCAUCAUGGCCUUUAUGUCCAGGGCUGCACACGUGCUACAAUGGCCGGUACAAUACGACGCUAACCCGCGAGGGGGAGCAAAUCGGAAAAAACCGGUCUCAGUUCGGAUCGCAGGCUGCAACUCGCCUGCGUGAAGCUGGAAUCGCUAGUAAUGCCGGAUCAGCAUGCCGGCGUGAAUACGUUCCCGGGCCUUGUACACAUAUACCGAUAUGACUGUACCUCUGGAGUCGAGCUGCAGGCUAAGCUACGUAGACCAGCAGCCGCGGUAAUACGUAGGCAGCAAGCGUCGUUCGGAAUUACUGGGCGUAAAGAGUGCGUAGGCGGUUAACUAAGUUUGGUGUGAAAUCUCCCGGCUUAACUGGGAGGGUGCGCCGAAAACUGGCCAGCUAGAGUGUGGGAGAGGAUAGUGGAAUUCCUGGUGUAGCGGUGAAAUGCGUAGAUAUCAGGAGGAACACCUGCGGUGUAGACGGCUAUCUGGACCAUGACUGACGCUGAGGCACGAAAGCGUGGGUAGCAAACAGGAUUAAAUACACUGGUAGUCCACGCCCUUAACUAUGCAAACUUGGUGUGCGCCCUUUCAUUGGGUGAGUGCCUUCGCUAUCGCGUUUUCGUUUGCCACCUGGGGA
This 906-nucleotide ribosomal RNA is filed under the name uncultured Acidobacteriota bacterium. Its description in RNAcentral is "bacterial SSU rRNA". The stretch from base 1 to 531 matches the Rfam family "Bacterial small subunit ribosomal RNA", at positions 910 to 1533 of the family's 1533-position model. The record is from RNAcentral. Lineage: Bacteria; Pseudomonadati; Acidobacteriota.